UUUGGUUUGUUACGGGUGGUUGGCUCUUUGCUUGCGCAACAACUUCCACCUGACUUACCUCUUCAGUUGUCUGUUUAGGUGUGUAUUGCCUAAGUGGAUUGUGGGUUUCCUGUGCUGCCUACCUAAGCCAUGGUAUUGUGUCGGUUGACUGAUGUAGCUUUCGUCUUGUGUCAUUGACAUGACAUCUGAUGAACCUUGAAGCUGUCUCUUUGCACCACAUCAUUAAUGCUUGCGUUGAUGUUGUGGCCCAUUGAGCGUUGCUUGUUAUCCUGGAUACGGAACCUGAUGUGGGUAUGGGGUCCUCUCGGAUCCUUGUUUGCCCUCAUUUAGCAUUAGCUCUUCUCUUACAAUGACUGCCUAGCCCGAAUUGGCUCGUACCACCGGGUGGGUAUUGUCAAAGAGGAUUGCUAGCUUCUCUUAAAAUGACUGCCUAGCCCGAAUUGGCUCGUACCACCGGGUGGGUAUUGUCAAAGAGGAAUGC
Molecule: unclassified non-coding RNA, 481 nt
Filed under: Zaluzania grayana
Lineage: Eukaryota; Viridiplantae; Streptophyta; Magnoliopsida; Asterales; Asteraceae
Description: partial external transcribed spacer
Source: RNAcentral